This 460-nucleotide ribosomal RNA is filed under the name uncultured bacterium. Its description in RNAcentral is "partial 16S ribosomal RNA". It matches the Rfam family "Bacterial small subunit ribosomal RNA", at positions 338 to 795 of the family's 1533-position model. The record is from RNAcentral.
CCUACGGGUGGCAGCAGUGAGGAAUAUUGGUCAAUGGACGAGAGUCUGAACCAGCCAAGUAGCGUGAAGGAUGACUGCCCUAUGGGUUGUAAACUUCUUUUAUAAAGGAAUAAAACGAGGCACGUGUGCCUUUUUGCAUGUACUUUAUGAAUAAGGAUCGGCUAACUCCGUGCCAGCAGCCGCGGUAAUACGGAGGAUCCGAGCGUUAUCCGGAUUUAUUGGGUUUAAAGGGAGAGUAGAUGGGUUGUUAAGUCAGUUGUGAAAGGUUGCGGCUCAACCGUAAAAUUGCAAUUGAUACUGGCAGUCUUGAGUACAGUUGAGGUAGGCGGAAUUCGUGGUGUAGCGGUGAAAUGCUUAGAUAUCACGAAGAACCCCGAUUGCGAAGGCAGCUUACUAAACUGUGACUGACAUUGAUGCUCGAAAGUGUGGGUAUCAAACAGGAUUAGAUACCCGAGUAGUC